UACGGAGGGUGCAAGCGUUGCUCGGAAUUAUUGGGCGUAAAGGGUAGGUAGGUGGUCUCAUUUGUCUGGGGUGAAAGCCUUGAGCUUAACUCAAGAAGUGCCCCGGAAACGGUGAGACUCGAGUGCUGGAGAGGGUCGUGGAAUUCCCGGUGUAGCGGUGAAAUGCGUAGAGAUCGGGAGGAACACCAGAGGCGAAGGCGGCGACCUGGACAGCUACUGACACUCAACUACGAAAGCGUGGGGAGCAAACAGG
Molecule: ribosomal RNA, 253 nt
Filed under: uncultured bacterium
Lineage: Bacteria
Description: partial 16S ribosomal RNA
Rfam family: Bacterial small subunit ribosomal RNA
Source: RNAcentral